RNAcentral lists this unclassified non-coding RNA (367 nucleotides) under Hevea brasiliensis (rubber tree). Lineage: Eukaryota; Viridiplantae; Streptophyta; Magnoliopsida; Malpighiales; Euphorbiaceae. The record is from RNAcentral.
GAAAGGUAUAACAUACUUCCAUUUGUUUUUUCAUAUACAAGUGUCUCCCCAUAUAUUUAUUACUCUAUGCUUUGAGGAAAUGUUGUGGGAUCUCUGAAUUGAAGUGAUGCAUGGUGAAACACCAUAUCAUUUUUCAUCCCUUGGCAAGAAACAUUCAUUUGAUAAGCAAACACCAUAUAGGUUCUUGCUUUUUAUUUUUUAAUGUUUUGUUUUCUGUACUGCAUGGUAAAAUAAUGGACUAAGCCAGUCUUCUAGCUUCUUUUCUUUCUAAGAUGGACAAACAGCUGUGUUAAAGUUGGACAUUAUCUGAAUCCCUAUAAAUUACUGCCUAAGUAUUUUAUUAAUAUGUUUGUAUCUCUAUGUCACC